GAUGAAGAACGUAGCGAAAUGCGAUAAGUAAUGUGAAUUGCAGAAUUCAGUGAAUCAUCGAAUCUUUGAACGCACCUUGCGCCCCUUGGUUAUUCCAAAGGGCAUGCCUGUUUUAGUAUCAUGAACACCUCAACUCUUGUGGUUUCCCACAAUGAGCUUGGACUGUGGAGGUUUUGUUGGCCCUGUGGUCAGCUCCUCUCAAAUGGAUCAGCUUACCGGUGUUUGGUGGCAUUACGGGUGUGAUAACUAUCUACGCUCGUGGUCGUCUCCAAAUAACCUCCAGUGAUGGAGGUUCGCUGGAGCUUAUAAAUGUCUCUCCCCAGUGAAGACAGCCUUUGAACGUUCGAUCUCAAAUCAGGUAGGACUACCCGCUGAACUUAAGCAUAUCAAUAAGCGGAGGA
RNAcentral lists this unclassified non-coding RNA (401 nucleotides) under soil metagenome. RNAcentral's name for it is "partial contains 5.8S ribosomal RNA, internal transcribed spacer 2, and large subunit ribosomal RNA". The stretch from base 1 to 121 matches the Rfam family "5.8S ribosomal RNA", at positions 35 to 154 of the family's 154-position model. The record is from RNAcentral.